RNAcentral lists this ribosomal RNA (852 nucleotides) under fungal sp. RNAcentral's name for it is "partial large subunit ribosomal RNA". It matches the Rfam family "Eukaryotic large subunit ribosomal RNA", at positions 81 to 952 of the family's 3401-position model. Lineage: Eukaryota; Fungi. The record is from RNAcentral.
CAGUAACGGCGAGUGAAGCGGCAACAGCUCAAAUUUGAAAUCUGGCCUCUCGGGGUCCGAGUUGUAAUUUGUAGAGGAUGUUUUGGGUACCGCCCCGGUUUAAAUUUCUUGGAACAGAAUGUCAAAGAGGGUGAGAAUCCCGUCUUGGACCGGCGGUAGGGCCUGUGUAAAACUCCUUCGACGAGUCGAGUUGUUUGGGAAUGCAGCUCAAAAUGGGUGGUAAAUUUCAUCUAAAGCUAAAUAUUGGCCAGAGACCGAUAGCGCACAAGUAGAGUGAUCGAAAGAUGAAAAGAACUUUGAAAAGAGAGUUAAACAGUAUGUGAAAUUGUUGAAAGGGAAGCGCUUGCAACCAGACUUGAGCGCGACGGUUCCCCUAGCCUUUUGGCUAGGCUACUCCGUCGUGUCCAGGCCAACAUCGGUUCUGAGGGUCGGUCAAAGGCCCCGGGAAUGUACCUACCCACGGGUAGACUUAUAGACCGGGGUGUCAUGCGGCCUCUCGGGACCGAGGAACGCGCUUCGGCUCGGAUGUUGGCGUAAUGGUUGUCAGCGACCCGUCUUGAAACACGGACCAAGGAGUCUAACAUCUAUGCGAGUGUUUGGGUGUCAAACCCGGAACGCGGAAUGAAAGUGAACGGAGGUAGGAAGCUUCGGCUGCACUAUCGACCGAUCCUGAAGUUUACGGAUGGAUUUGAGUAAGAGCAUAGCUGUUGGGACCCGAAAGAUGGUGAACUAUGCCUGAAUAGGGUGAAGCCAGAGGAAACUCUGGUGGAGGCUCGCAGCGGUUCUGACGUGCAAAUCGAUCGUCAAAUUUGGGUAUAGGGGCGAAAGACUAAUCGAACCAUUAAAGCCACU